This is a long non-coding RNA of Oreochromis niloticus (Nile tilapia), 3251 nucleotides long. The record is from Ensembl. Lineage: Eukaryota; Metazoa; Chordata; Actinopteri; Cichliformes; Cichlidae.
CUGGAAAGUUAGUUUGUCAGUCCUCAGCGCCACCCACUGGCAUCACUAAGCAAUUGCCUGGUUCAGAAAGAAGUCUCUUCUCUUCUGAACACCUGUGUAUCAUAAUGAAUCUGCAUCAGGUGCAAGUAAUCUGUCUGUUUCCUGUCAGUUGCUUUGGAUGCGAGACCUUUGAUUGGCUGUCAAGAGAAGAUAAAUUGGGUGCCUUGACUCCACCUGCCACUGUGCUACAGAAGGAGGAAAGCAGAGUGGUGGUUGUUUUGUGUUGGGUUAACAGACACUAGAUUUGGGGCUUCUCAAGCUUACACCUGAUAUUAUUUCUGCUUAAAGCGAUGAGCUUUAUAUUUUGGUAAUCUCAAAUCAUUCUUUUCUUGAGAUUUAUGACUUCCUUUGAUGUAAUCACAAUAGUUUAUUCAAAUAUGAUUUUGUUUUUUAGUGUGUUGCUGCCAUGGGUACUUCUUGUUGGGGAGCUUCAAGCAAGUAUGAAACCUUCCCAUCUUGGCUUUGGAAAUGUUGAUGCCAGUAAGCAGGUCUCAGGUGACCAGCUUCAUCAGUUGCCACACUGGUUCAACCCUUUGCACCAGGACCAGGCCCAGCCUCAGCCUCGGAGCUCUCUUGCUCCUAGCUCUCAGCCCAAGGUCCAACCCCAGUCUCGCAGCUACCUCCCCCGGCCACUGCUGCAAGCUUAUGGUUCUCAGCCACAAGUCCAGCCCCUGUCACAGCCCCUGGUGCAUGCUCGCAGCUAUCAAGCUCAGCCACAGGCUCAUAGUUACUGGGCUGAGGCCCACCCCCAGCUGCAGCCUCGCAGUCAAGGCCAUCCUGGGAUCCAGGGUGCCCCCCAGGCCCAUCCCCAGGUCCGUCCCCACACCCAGCCUCGGAGCUUUCUGAUUCGUCCCCAAACCCAACCACAGCCUCGUAGGAUUCAGGGCCACCCCAAGACCCAGAUGCAGUCCCAGCCUCAGCCUCGUACUUUUCAGGGCCAACCCCAGGCACAGACCGAGCUGCAGCCUCGCAGCUUUCAGGGUCCUCCUCAGGUCCGUCCCCAGACCCAGCCUCGUAGCCAUCAAGGCCAUCCCAAGACCCAGCUGCAGAGCCAGACCCAGCCACAGCCCAGGAGCUUUCAGGGCCAUCACCAAUUCCAGCCUGAGGGUCAUCCCCAGAAUCAGUUGCAGCCUCGCAGCUUUCAUGGCUAUUCCCACCAGCCGCAGCCUCGCAUCUAUCGUGGCUAUCCCCAGGCUCAGCUGAAGUCCCAGCUGCAGUCACAGCCUCAGUCUCGCAGCUUUCAGGGCAAUGCCCAUCCCAAUCCCCAGGUCCAGAUCCAGCCUCAUAGCCAUCAAGGCCAUCCCAAGACCCAGCUGCAGAGCCAGACCCAGCCACAGCUUCGCAGCCAUCAGGGCCAUGCCCAGGUACCGACCCAGCCACAGCCUCGCAGCUUUCAGGGCCAUGCCCAGGUCCGUCCCCAGACCCAGCCUCGUAGCCAUCAAGGCCAUCCCGAGACCCAGCUGCAAAGCCAGACCCAGCCACAGCCCCGCAGCUUUCAGGGCCAGGGCCAUGGCCAUCCCAAGGCCCAGACCCAGCUGCAGUCUCACAGUUCUCAGCCUGAAAGCAAUCAGGCUGAUUCACUGGCACAACCUCGUAGUUCUCUGGCCCAGCCCCAAGACCAGCUGCAUGCUAGCACUUCUCAGUCCCGGGCCCACCUAAAGCCUCGCAGUCAUCAUGCUCAGUCCAAGACACAGCCUCAUAGUUAUUCAGCAUAUCCACGGGCCCAUUCUUACUAUCAGGCUCAAAUCCCAAUACAGGUACGCAGCUAUCCAAUGCAUCCUCAGAUGAUGCGUUACCAGCGCAGACCUCAUCUUCAGCCUUGGGUCAGGGCAACUGCCACAAACCACCAGAUUCUGCAAGGGGCUUAAACGAAGAGGGCCAACAUCAGAAGAUGGAUCAUUAACUGCAUGGAUACAAUUAAACUGAUCUUUAGGGGAAAUGUAAAUAAAUCUGUCUAGACGAGUCUGUGUGUGGGCUAGCUUAUUUAUAUUUUAUACUAAUAUCUCAGUUGUGACAGCAGGUGGUGCAUAUUUCAAAUUUUGAGCUCAAACUGAAGCCAUUCAUGUGCAGCAUCUACAGCAGGCAAAGAAGAUUGGCUCUGACAGCACGAGUGAUGCAUAAUGACCUGCUCUUCAGUCUGCAGGUGACCCAGUUCAACUGGAACAAGCUGCUUUUUUUUUUUUUUUAAAAAAAAAAAAAAAAAAAAACCCAGGCAAAGAAACAGAACUGCACAUCAAUACUGGGAUUAUGACGCUACUGUGGAAAACUUAAACAAAAUGGAGACUUUUAGAUUGGUUCUGCAUAUAGAGCCAAAAGUCUAUAUUUUUCAGCAUGUAAGUGAAAUCUUGAUUACUUUUUUGCGUACCUUUUAUUUCCAGACUGCUGUUAACUUAAAAGAGAAAAUCCAACUGAUUCAGAGCACUAUUCAGUCUGGUUACUAGAUAAAGUCAGAUUUUCUUUAAUGUGCACCAGAGACAAAUGAGUCUCAGGUGCACAUCUAAAUUCACUGGGUAACUGCAAGAAAAAAAAACAGGCCUUCGUGGAAAACUGCUGCAUGCAGUGCACUUGCAAUGCUUAACUCCAUGUUCCUGUUCAGCAAAGCGACCAAAGUCGUCUCUUUAUCAGUUAAGUAUCCUCCAGGAGGUGUUAAUAUAACGUAGGUGGUAGAAAUAAUAAGCUACAAAAAUGUACAUGUCUCUGAUAAUUCCCUCGACGGAUGAAAUGCUGUUUGUCCAAAUCCUGGUUUUGGUGGAUCUUGUUAAAUUGGUUUGAGAUGUGGAGGCUGCAGGCAUAUGACUAAUUCCAUUUUGUUUGGUGAUCCCUCCAAGUCCUUAGCAGAAGCAUUCCAUGUUUUUGAACUCAUUUAUUCACAGCACAUUUAAUCUAACAACUGUUUCCUAUCCAGCAUACAUUGUUCCUACAUGUCCAUGCUUAUGUUCUGCCUAUAGGUGGCACCAUCUGACAUGAAACUUGACUGUCGUGGACAUGUUGGGACUAAAAGACAAAUACUGCAGGGACUAGAAUAUUUUAAUACUUGUUUUAAACUAUAAAGAAACCAGUUUUCCCUAAAUGGCAAAAUAGAUUCUUUAAGGAACUGUUUUCUAGAAAGUUGCUUUUACUGAGAUGACUUUACACUGUUUCAAAAGUAUAACUUGUACUAUAAUGGUAUAUUAGUAUGAGUUACAAUUCUUCUAUAUCUCAUAUGUAAAAUG